Molecule: ribosomal RNA, 254 nt
Filed under: uncultured bacterium
Lineage: Bacteria
Description: partial 16S ribosomal RNA
Rfam family: Bacterial small subunit ribosomal RNA
Source: RNAcentral
UACGAAGGGGACUAGCGUUGUUCGGAAUCACUGGGCGUAAAGCGCACGUAGGCGGAUUUGUAAGUCAGGGGUGAAAUCCCGGGGGCUCAACCUCGGAACUGCCUUUGAUACUGCAAGUCUUGAGUCCGAUAGAGGUGGGUGGAAUUCCUAGUGUAGAGGUGAAAUUCGUAGAUAUUAGGAAGAACACCGGUGGCGAAGGCGGCCCACUGGAUCGGUACUGACGCUGAGGUGCGAAAGCGUGGGGAGCAAACAGG